UGACAGUCACAAAGUUAGUUUUCACGCUUCAGUCAGUCAGCUGUGUUGGAUUUGUUGAUGUCUAUAAAAACAGUAAUGGAAAGCGGUAAUACGGAAAUUGAAGAGACCUCAGUUGUAGCCGCAAUCAAGCCCGAGACCAAGGUACUGUCAAUUGGAGAUGACGAAGACCUAAUUAGAGACAAGUCAGAAGAAAACAAGGAAAACUCAUUUCAUGAUGCUGUUCGAAAACGUUUGUGUGCACUAACAACGGGUAUUAAAAGUCCCCUCGAGCCUAUUGUAAUAGGGAGUUCAGUGAAUAACUUUGGUGCGGCUCGUAUUAUGAAAAAUAAUAAGCCCAGUCAAUAUCGUUUUUACUGUCUAAAAGGCAACGAUUGGAGAUCUCAUAUGAUUAUAUCUGGCCUAACAUUCAAUGCAAAGGAUGCUUUUAAAUAUGUGAAAAAUAGACUAAAAGAGGAAACCUGGAUAUCUGAGGAUACCAUAGAAGCUCCACUGAAAACAAACGGUAAUGGUGGCUUUCGCCUCGAAUCCGAUUUGUAUAUUCAAAAUAUUGUUGCGGAAGCACUUGAUGCAGAAUGGAAAAGGUUGCUUAAUUUCAUAAUAUUUUUACACAGAAAUUAUCGAUAAUAUUCUAAUAUAUGAAGACCAAUCUGAUAGCAUAAAAGUGUAUUGCAGCUUUAUCUAGCUGAAACGAAAAGCUUUAAUUGAAAGCUUUUGCCACAGUUGCGAAAUUACUAACGAUUAGUAUUUGGCCGGCUGCAGUGUAUAUAUAGCGUCAUCGAAGACUGUUGCCAAUAAGAAAGCUACAGAUAGUCAAGCCGAGCAGUUCCAAAAUUACAAUAAUAAUAAAUAAUAUGAAUAUCGAAAACGAGAUAGAAGAUAAAAAUGGUAAUUGAAAUUUCGUGUAUUGCAAGACAAGAAAAAAAGUAAAUAUAUAAAUAAAAUUCCAAUUGUUUACCAUUUAAAGCUCUGGCGACACAGACAUCGACUACAAAAGUUUUGGCCAUAGGAAAUCCGACAGAGGUCAUAAAUUGCCCAAGCCCGGAACAUACUAAAAAUAAUAAUAAUAAUUCCAACAAGGUAAAACAAUUUAAAGAGGAAUGCACCAAUUAUUUGAGUUUAGUUCUGAUGGGAAAUCCAACGCCAGUCGACGAUGUCAGCGGCUUGUGUCCCAUUGAAUGGUUUGGAAUGGAAGUUAUCCGCAAAGCGAAUCAGCCUACUUGUUAUAAGUUUUACUGUUUUCCCGCACAGAGAACCCAACCUAAGCACGUUAAUGUAUAUUACUUCUACCAGACAAUUAAUGCAAAUGCCAUUUUGCGCGAUGUUAGGCGAUUUUUGAAGGAGGAACGUUGGAUGUCUAAACAUCUUUUAAUGGGGCCACUGAAGGCAAAACUAACUCCUAGUGCCUUUAGCUCUGAGCAAACUCAUAUUGAAACUUUUAUUUCUAAGGCCUUCGAUAUUGAGAGAAGGAAGGCAUUACCGUACCUGUUGUACUGUCACAGAGAACAUGUACAAAAUAAGAAGUAUCGUAAAUAAAUUAAAUAAUAGCUGUACUUUAUGUAUAUUUUAAAAUUUUCAUUAAUAUAAGCAAAACAACAAACUUACAGAUCUCUCAUUUCUGAGGACGUAAUAUAUCUACACGAAAACAUUACUGUAAGCUCAAGCGAACAGCUGUUGGAUGUAAACAACAAACUUAAAAAAAAUAAUAAUGAUACGAAAAGCUUUAAGAGAGUAGCUUACAUACAUAUAUAUAUGUACAUGUACGAAUAAAUAGCAAUACGAUUUCAAAGUGAGAUGCAUAUGUGUAAACGUAAGCGAAAAGUAAACAUGGAAAUCAAUAAAACAGAAAUUGAAGAAAAGUCAGCCAUAGCUAAAUUGACAUAUACUCAAAAAGUAUUAUCAAUUGGAGAUGACGAAAGCACAGCGAGUGAAAAAUCUGUUGAGAAUCGUAACGCGGAUAUUUUACAAGAGAGUUUCAGAAAACAUUUGUGCCAGCUCUUAACUGGGAGCCGAAUAGCCAUCGAAGUUGUUGAAGAUUGGAAUAGAGUGGAUAGAUUUGGAGUAACUAGUAUUAAAAAAGAUAAACAACCCAGGCGCUAUCAUUUUUAUCUGGUGCAUGGGAAUAUUUACAAGCCGGGUGAUAUUUUCUCUGAGCCGGUAUUCGAUGGAAAGGCAAUCAUGGAGGUUGUAAGGAAUCGACUAAUUGGUGAGAAUUGGAUAUCAGAAAACGUCAUUGAAACACCUCUCAGAACUAAAUUCGAUCGUAGUCUAUACCACAGCUCCGAUCAAUUCAUUCAGCAAGUUGUUUCGGAUGCUCUGAACACAGAAGCGCCGAAACUCUUUAGGUUCCUGCAAUUCUUACAUAGAAAUAGGCAUAAAUAAAUACCUUCAGUAAAGUAAAAUAAAUAAUAAUUAUUUUAAAAAAGUACCAAUUCUGUACAAAACUUGAUACUAUAUUAAACUGAUUAUAUUUGAGCUAUUGUAAAUAAAUAUAUAAUUU
Molecule: RNA transcript, 2497 nt
Organism: Drosophila mojavensis
Lineage: Eukaryota; Metazoa; Arthropoda; Insecta; Diptera; Drosophilidae
Exons: 3
Source: RefSeq, a predicted model, not a curated record